This is an RNA transcript of Nannospalax galili (Upper Galilee mountains blind mole rat), 2413 nucleotides long. It is a transcript of the gene named nucleosome assembly protein 1 like 4, with no coding region annotated. The transcript has 17 exons. The record is from RefSeq and is a predicted model, not a curated record. Lineage: Eukaryota; Metazoa; Chordata; Mammalia; Rodentia; Spalacidae.
UCUUGCUAGGGUGGGGCGGGGCCUAGAGCCGCGGCCAAUGGCAGGUGGUUUUGUUGGCGGCCACGGCGGCGCAGCCCCGGAGCGAGCGAAGGCAUCGGCGCCACUGCCGCAGGAGGCGCGAGGGGAUACAAGCAUUCAGAUGGCAGAUAACAGUUUUUCAGAUGGAGUUCCUGCAGAGUCUGUGGAGGCUGCUAACAAUGCAGAUAGCGCAGAAAAGCUCACCGAUCAGGUGAUGCAGAAUCCACAAGUUCUGGCAGCUUUACAGGAACGACUUGACAAUGUCUCUCACACGCCUUCCAGCUACAUAGAAACUUUACCCAAAGCCGUCAAAAGGAGAAUUAAUGCCCUGAAGCAGCUUCAGGUGCGGUGCGCACACAUCGAGGCCAAGUUCUACGAAGAAGUGCACGACCUGGAGAGGAAGUAUGCAGCGCUCUACCAGCCUCUGUUUGACAAGAGAAGAGAGUUCAUCACUGGGGAUGUGGAGCCGACAGACGCGGAGUCAGAGUGGCACAGUGAGAAUGAAGAGGAGGACAAGCUGGCGGGAGAUGUGAAGAACAAAGUCGUUAUAGCUGAGAAAGAAGCAGCAACGGAGGAGGUGGAUCCCAAGGGCAUCCCUGAGUUCUGGUUCACCAUCUUCAGAAAUGUGGAUAUGCUCAGUGAGCUGGUGCAGGAAUAUGAUGAGCCGAUUUUGAAACACCUGCAGGAUAUUAAAGUGAAAUUCUCAGACCCUGGACAGCCUAUGUCUUUUGUGCUAGAGUUCCACUUUGAACCCAACGACUACUUCAGCAAUCCUGUCCUGACAAAAACCUACAAGAUGAAGUCAGAGCCAGACAAAGCCGACCCGUUUUCUUUUGAAGGCCCUGAAAUUGUGGAUUGUGAUGGGUGUACAAUUGACUGGAAAAAAGGGAAAAACGUGACCGUCAAAACCAUCAAGAAAAAGCAGAAGCACAAGGGCCGGGGCACAGUUCGCACCAUCACGAAGCAAGUGCCCAACGAGUCCUUCUUCAACUUCUUCAGCCCCCUGAAAGCCUCUGGAGAUGGAGAGUCACUGGAUGAAGAUUCUGAGUUCACAUUGGCGUCUGAUUUUGAAAUUGGACACUUCUUCCGUGAGCGGAUAGUGCCGCGGGCUGUGCUCUACUUCACCGGGGAGGCCAUAGAGGAUGAUGACAAUUUUGAAGAGGGUGAGGAAGGCGAAGAGGAGGAAUUGGAAGGUGAUGAGGAGGGAGAAGACGAGGAUGGUACCGAAGUUAACCCUGAGGGGAGCCUCGGUCAGGCUGUGGCACACUGAUACCUAAGCUGCCUAGUGCAGCCCUGGCUGCCCUGUGUGUUUGAGGUGUAAUUUUUGUCUGUUAAUCAUUCAUGCGUUUCUAGAAGGAAGCCAGCCAGCCGGCGGAGUGCAAGCAGCAGUGAGACCAGCGCUGGGGAGCCCUGCGGCAGCUGUCGGGACCCCGCGCUGCAGCGCGGACCUUCCUGCCACAGCAGAGUUCUGACAGUGCUGUGGCAUCUAACCGUUUCCAAGUGCAUGAUUUCACUUCACCCAUCCCUUCCCUCCUUAUUUUGCUUAACUUGUACAGUGGCGACCGGACUGCGAUUCAGAGUAGGAGAUUUAGCUCCAGCAGCUCUUCGGCCUCGGUGCCUGUAGCCCUGGACUUUGCUGGCCCUGCCUUUGCGAGGCCCUGAAGACCACGUGGGGUGGGCUGGGGUCGUGCCCGGACGGGCAAAGCCUGGCCAUGCUGCUGUAGUGUCCACGGCUGCUUCUGUUCUGCGGGCCUGCCGCUCCCGAUCGAAGAAACCCCAGUCUCUAGCCACUGAACCUGCGUGCGAAGCUGCUCCAGCUGUCGUCCUGGUCAUCUCCAAAGAGCUAGUAGAGGGGCCGCGCUGUCCUUAGAGCGCCUUUUUCUUGCGUUUUGGUUUUUAGGGGUGGGUGGGUUGUGGCACACGCCUCUGAGACCAGAGCUGUGGGCUUGGUCCUUGUAUUUAUCUUUUGUGCUUGGAGGACUUUGAACCAGACUGACCUCCUCACCUUCUGUGAGACCAUGUGGUGACGUGGUGCAGUGAGGCCUCUGUGGAAGACACCCUGCUUCCUGCCACUGUCCUGAGACCUGCAUACCAGGUGUCCUGGGUCCUUUCGGAGGGUGUGGGGCUGUGGCUGGAUCGCUGGUCCGAGGGGCACGGCUUUCCAGCUUGUGUGCACACCAGGUCCAGGGCCCUGGCUUUGUUGGGCACUUGGUGACUUGGCACUGGGUUCAGAGUGUGUGGUUGUGUUCUCUGGCAGCCAGGGACAGCCAUGUCCACAUGACCAGGCAUGUAGAGCGUGCUCAGCCUUACCUGAUAACACAUUUGUAACUGAAUACGGUGUUUUCAAUUUGUACAGAAUAGUUAGAAGAUUCUAUUAAAGUUGUGAAACAUGAAA